CCUACGGGUGGCUGCAGUGGGGAAUAUUGGACAAUGGGGGGAACCCUGAUCCAGCCAUGCCGCGUGUGUGAAGAAGGCCCUCGGGUUGUAAAGCACUUUCAGUGAGGAAGAACGCCUGGUGGUUAAUACCCAUCAGGAAAGACAUCACUCACAGAAGAAGCACCGGCUAACUCCGUGCCAGCAGCCGCGGUAAUACGGAGGGUGCGAGCGUUAAUCGGAAUUACUGGGCGUAAAGCGCACGUAGGUGGCUUGAUAAGCCGGUUGUGAAAGCCCCGGGCUCAACCUGGGAACGGCAUCCGGAACUGUCAAGCUAGAGUGCAGGAGAGGAAGGUAGAAUUCCCGGUGUAGCGGUGAAAUGCGUAGAGAUCGGGAGGAAUACCAGUGGCGAAGGCGGCCUUCUGGACUGACACUGACACUGAGGUGCGAAAGCGUGGGUAGCAAACAGGAUUAGAUACCCGAGUAGUC
Molecule: ribosomal RNA, 465 nt
Filed under: Vreelandella stevensii
Lineage: Bacteria; Pseudomonadati; Pseudomonadota; Gammaproteobacteria; Oceanospirillales; Halomonadaceae
Description: partial 16S ribosomal RNA
Rfam family: Bacterial small subunit ribosomal RNA
Source: RNAcentral